Molecule: long non-coding RNA, 267 nt
Organism: Helianthus annuus (common sunflower)
Lineage: Eukaryota; Viridiplantae; Streptophyta; Magnoliopsida; Asterales; Asteraceae
Exons: 2
Source: RefSeq, a predicted model, not a curated record
CAGCUUUUCAGGGUAGGGGAAGUACAAUCACUUUGUGUAUCAGAAGGUUCUGAAACCGUCAAAGAGGGGAUUACUAUUCAAUUUAAAGAGGAGGAAGAAAGUAGCUCCUUUCAUGGUGCAUUUGAGCAAUGGAAAAGUGACGUAACGAUUCAAGGUAUGCUACCUUCUGCAAACAUUAUAUACAAUACAUUGAUGAUUAGUUUCUUUUGAAUUUUGUAAUUUCCUUUAUCACAUGAUUACACCUAAUGACAUGAAACAAUAAACCAA